This 440-nucleotide ribosomal RNA is filed under the name uncultured bacterium. RNAcentral's name for it is "partial 16S ribosomal RNA". It matches the Rfam family "Bacterial small subunit ribosomal RNA", at positions 338 to 795 of the family's 1533-position model. The record is from RNAcentral.
CCUACGGGAGGCUGCAGUGGGGAAUAUUGCGCAAUGGGCGAAAGCCUGACGCAGCGACGCCGCGUGAGGGAUGAAGUAUUUCGGUAUGUAAAGCUCUAUCAGCAGGGAAGAAGAUGACGGUACCUGAAGAAUAAGCACCGGCUAACUACGUGCCAGCAGCCGCGGUAAUACGUAGGGGGCAAGCGUUAUCCGGAUUUACUGGGUGUAAAGGGAGCGCAGGCGGGAUAGCAAGUCUGGUGUGAAAGCCCAUGGCUCAACCAUGGAACUGCACUUGAAACUGUGCGGCUAGAGUAUGGGAGGGGCAGGUGGAAUUCUUAGUGUAGGGGUAAAAUGCGUAGAGAUUAAGAGGAACACUAGUGGCGAAGGCGACCUGCUGGACAAUAACUGACGUUGAGGCGCGAAAGCGUGGGGAGCAAACAGGAUUAGAUACCCGAGUAGUC